UACGGAAGGCAGCAGUGGGGAAUAUUGCACAAUGGGCGCAAGCCUGAUGCAGCCAUGCCGCGUGUAUGAAGAAGGCCUUCGGGUUGUAAAGUACUUUCAGUCGUGAGGAAGGUGUUAAGGUUAAUAACCUUAGCAAUUGACGUUAGCGACAGAAGAAGCACCGGCUAACUCCGUGCCAGCAGCCGCGGUAAUACGGAGGGUGCGAGCGUUAAUCGGAAUUACUGGGCGUUAAAGGGCACGCAGGCGGUUAAUUAAGUUGGAUGUGAAAUCCCCGGGCUUAACCUGGGAAUGGCAUUCAAGACUGGUUAGCUAGAGUCUUGUAGAGGGGGUAGAAUUCCAUGUGUAGCGGUGAAAUGCGUAGAGAUGUGGAGGAAUACCGGUGGCGAAGGCGGCCCCUGGACAAAGACUGACGCUCAUGUGCGAAAGCGUGGGGAGCAAACAGGAUUAGAUACC
This 453-nucleotide ribosomal RNA is filed under the name uncultured bacterium. RNAcentral's name for it is "bacterial SSU rRNA". It matches the Rfam family "Bacterial small subunit ribosomal RNA", at positions 340 to 786 of the family's 1533-position model. The record is from RNAcentral.